CCUACGGGUGGCAGCAGUGGGGGAUAUUGCACAAUGGGGGAAACCCUGAUGCAGCGACGCCGCGUGAGUGAAGAAGUAUUUCGGUAUGUAAAGCUCUAUCAGCAGGGAAGAAAAUGACAGUACCUGACCAAGAAGCCCCGGCUAACUACGUGCCAGCAGCCGCGGUAAUACGUAGGGGGCAAGCGUUAUCCGGAUUUACUGGGUGUAAAGGGAGCGUAGACGGUUAUGUAAGUCUGGAGUGAAAGCCCGGGGCCCAACCCCGGGACUGGUUUGGAAACUGUGUAACGGGAGUACAGGAGGGGCGGGAGGAAGUCCGGGGGAGGGGGGGAAAGGAGAAGAGAUCAGGAGGAACA
Molecule: ribosomal RNA, 353 nt
Filed under: uncultured bacterium
Lineage: Bacteria
Description: partial 16S ribosomal RNA
Rfam family: Bacterial small subunit ribosomal RNA
Source: RNAcentral